UACGGAGGGUGCAAGCGUUAUCCGGAUUCACUGGGUUUAAAGGGUGCGUAGGCGGCCGGGUAAGUCUGAUGUGAAAUCUCACAGCUUAACUGUGAAACUGCAUUGGAUACUAUCCGGCUCGAGGAAUGGAGGGGAGACUGGAAUACUUGGUGUAGCAGUGAAAUGCGUAGAUAUCAAGUGGAACACCAGUGGCGAAGGCGAGUCUCUGGACAUUUCCUGACGCUGAGGCACGAAAGCCAGGGGAGCAAACGGG
RNAcentral lists this ribosomal RNA (253 nucleotides) under uncultured bacterium. RNAcentral describes it as "partial 16S ribosomal RNA". It matches the Rfam family "Bacterial small subunit ribosomal RNA", at positions 524 to 776 of the family's 1533-position model. The record is from RNAcentral.